RNA transcript from Hippocampus zosterae (dwarf seahorse), 6157 nucleotides. It is a transcript of the gene named coiled-coil serine-rich protein 2a, with no coding region annotated. NCBI's taxonomy places the organism in Eukaryota, Metazoa, Chordata, Actinopteri, Syngnathiformes, Syngnathidae. The transcript is spliced from 11 exons. The record is from RefSeq and is a predicted model, not a curated record.
UAUCCCCCCUACUCUACCUCCUUCAAUGAACAAACGUUCAACAUCUUCAGAGCUUUCUUCAAUGGAAAGAAUCGGGUGUUUCCGAUGACAGACACGCUCCACCCCGUCGGAGUCGAGGGAGGAUGUUGGGAGUGGGAGUCCUCUGGAGGGGUCGCUAGUGCUCGUGGUCCUGGUCGGCUGUUGACACUGUCAAUUUCAUUUCAAGCUUUUCGCCCUUUCUUUUUUCUUUGUGUAUUUAUUUUUACUCGUUUAUGUCUUCUCUCUUCGUUCGAAAGCCCAACAUCGCGCACAAUCUCCGGCUUUGGAGGAAGAAGUAACGGACGCCGCUGCAGAACAUUGUUGACUGGAAGCAUCCGUCUGGAUCUCGGCUGCUACUUCCCAAUAUUUAUUAUUAUUUUUUUAGUUCCCACAACGCCCCCUCUUUUCCUCGGCUAUCUCCCCACACUUACCAGAUUUAUUUGGACGUAGAAUAACGUCGAUAUUGUUGUAUUAAACUUGGUUACAAGUUGCUAUGGGCUAACCAAGCUAGCAUCUUCGAAUCACAAGCAACAAGAGGACUCUUUAUUGGCAUCCUCUGUGCUUUUAACACAGCGGUGUGUGAGUCCACGCUCCUCCAUGCCUCCGUUGGCAUCCGAUGGAAGAUAAAGUAUCGACCGGCUCCGCCAUGGUUUCAAGACUGCCCAAGUUUGGCGGGCGCUCGACGAGUGGCGGCGCCGGCUCCUUGACCAACGGUUCGUCUUCGCAGGAUGCCAAGACUGGCGCGUGCCCGAGCGGCGCCAUUCGAACUUCUCCCUUUUCCUUGAAAUGGAGGAGAGAUGAAGGGACAGCCCCCUCCAGCCUGAGCACCCUGACCAGCCCUGGGGACGGGGGCAAGGAGAAGACGAGACAACUCCCCCCAUCGGCAAAGGAAGGAAAGAGCGCCUCCCCGGGAACGCCGAUAAUGCGCAGGUCAGGUCCAUUGGCGGUGGCGGCCUCCAGCCCCAAAGCCCCCCCGAAGCAACCCCUCAAAGUACCUCCCAAAGACGGCAUCAAGUUAGGCCAAAGCUCACUCAACGGCGCACCCAAAGCAGACCGCGGCGACACCGAGUCCCGCCCAUCACGGCCCAAGUUAUCCUCAGGAUCGCCGACAAGCGACUCCCGAGACCGCCUUUCGCAGUCCAGCGAAAGCCUGAAGACCCUGGAACUGGACAAGAUGGUGCGCUCAAACAGUUUCACGCACUUCAAGCAGAUUCCGUCUCCCAACAGCCAGCCCAUGAUCCGCUCCUUCUCCUUCAACCGGGCCGUGGAACUGGCCAAACCUCUGGCCAACACUCAGCUUCGACCGCCUCGGAGUAGUUUCCUCAAACCCCCUCAACUCGGCAACGGACGCUUACGUUUAGGACUCGGGGCUCUCCGUGUUGGCCAAGGGGGGUCGGGAUCUUCUGGCGGCGUUCAGUACAGCCGAACAACUGCGGCUGCUUCCUCGCUCCCGACGCCGGCAGCGCCCUCCGCUCCCUCCGCUCUGAAAAAACCGCUGCUCUCCACUUGCGGUUUGAACAAGUUAUUGGGGAAUAGUCGCGCGUCUUUGGGCUUCAAGCAGCCGAAACCCGCACAGGCCAAGCAGCAAAAGACCAUCCUCCCGGCUUGGGUUAAAGGAGCCGUCAAACCUUCAUCCGUCCCUCCGUGUGGUGAUCCCGAACCCGGCGGAAAGGAUGAAGAAGCGGAUGGUCGCUGUGGCGCUGAUCAACGGAUCGUGGAUGGAGGAGAAAAAGACAAAAGCGGCGUGCUGGCGCCAAGCUCGGAUGAGGCGGUCGCGGAUGGUCAGGAAGACAUGUCCCUGUCUUCCGCUUCAUCCCUCGGCCAAGGAAACACCAGUGAAGACUUUUUAGAUGACUUGGACAGUUUGGGGGAUGUUUUCAGUGACGGGGACCCUCACGACAACAAGAAGAUAAAUAGUGUUCUCAACGAGACCAAUGACUGGGAGCCGGCAGGCCAUGAUGAAGAAAGCCCAAUGCAAGACUCCCAGGGAGCACUUGUGAAGUCGCCGGAGACGGGCGAUGUCUGCCAGGCUUCAUCUUUGGAGCUGUCACCCUCCAACAGCUCCGGGGGAACCUACAUGUGGGACGAAGAAGGUCUCGAACCACUUUCAGGGCCUGGCACGUAUCUGUGCGAUCCGUACGACGACUCCGAGCUCAACAGCAUGGAUAUUCUGAACAAUCUGCACGGCCCAGGCGUGGAAGAGGUGGAUGACGAUGACCUCAUGCUGGAUGUGGAUCUCCCAGAGGAUGGUUUGCAUGACUUUGACAGGAUGUCCAACGGUGUAAGCGGGCCCCGUCGACAGGGACAGCGCCGCCGACACCACCGCUGGAAUGGAGCUGACCACUCCCCCAACGACGGCAGGUCACCGUUUUCCCAUCACUACGACAGCCUCAAGUCUUCAAGGAUGUCUUUACCGGCCGCCCCCUCGGAAGCGAGGCGACAGGGCCGCGCGCCCGCGCCUGUGCACGAUGAGUUGUCGCUGGAGCACAUGAGCCAAGACUGCACCUUGGUCAAGAACCAGCUGCUCAGGCUGAAAAACCUACUGCAGCUCGAGGAUCCGGACUCGCCAGCAGAUGUUGCGGGCGAGAUUGGAAGCAAGACCAAUAGUGUAUCCCAGUUUGAGGAGCUGCUGAAGGAGGUGCACAUGCUCCGAGAAGAACUUCGGAGUCGAGACAAAACCAUUGUUCAGCUCACUCUGCAGUGUCAGCAGCUGCAGCAGCAUCAGCGGGAACAAGUGCUGGCCCGAGAACGUCAGGUGCGGUGCCGGUGUCAACAGCAGAGGGCGCCCUCGCUACUUCGACAGCCGGCGGACAAGCUACCGCAACGCCCCUGUGACAAGGCCACCCAGACCCACUGGAGACCCCCCACUCACGCCGUGAGUCCACAUAACCACACUCAGCUUCAAAUACCUUUCAACCUCAGCGAGCGUUUCCGCCCGGGAAAGCCGGUAAAAACUCUCCCCACCGAGGACCGCAGUGACCCGACGAGGGACGCGGGGGCCUAUUUUGACGCCGCCGCUCCUCUUGACGGCCCCGCGUCAGACGCGUCUGCGCCGGCGGACCCGCCGCAGCUGAGUCACCGCCGCGGCAUUCAGUGUCCAAGCUCAGGGUUCCGGCGUGAGCGGAGGGCCCCCGCGGCCACAUGGCGUGACCCGGUUGCCGCCGCGUCCGUUCACGGCGAGGGCACGUCACAUGCCGCCGUCCGGCCGCUCAGACAGUCGUCGUCCUUAAAGCCGUCGGCCAGGCAGCUGCCCCCUCCGUCCAGAGGCCUCCCUUGCUUUCACGUCGGCCCCCGGCAGCAACUCCCCGGCCCUUGUCGCACCUCGCCACUUCUGCCUUGCGGGAUCUCGGAACCCCCCCCCCCUUCCCCCUCCCGGCCGGUCCUCACGGUGACGCCAACCGGGGAUCGCUCCAGGAGACGGCCAACAUGAUCGGCCCUUCGGGGCGCUUGAGUCUCCCCCAAGCCAAAGGUUCCCUGAGGAGAGCGUCACGCCGCACGUCGAACCAAAAGAGGACAAGAGGCCGCCCGCUGAAUAUGUACAAUAUGUAGCAAGACGACUCAACUCCACAGCCUCGCGUCCCCGCAUGGCGAGCAGCGGUGUGUUAAGAAGAGCCACUGACAGGGACUCUGCUCUCUUCACUGUCGGGGCCGCGUGACCGCUCGCCUCUGUACGCCUCUGGCACGGACCGCUCGACUGCGUCCCCUCCACAUAGACACACACGCAAACACGUCCAUGCGCCGUGAUACAAUGAGAACGGACGUGAAGGGGAACGCGCAUACACGAACACGGACUCCCCCCGCAGACACAUCGAGUGCAACCUCUGAGAGCCCAACGCAAUCUGUUUGUCGCUUAAUUGCAGGGCACAUAUUGACCACUAGAGGGAGACUGACAAUAGAUUUGUAUUUAUGAUUAUUUUAUUUGUAGUCGACGCAAAGCUGUUCAAGUUGAGUCGACGUCAGCCGAUCGAUGAUGUCUUUGUUAACUUUCCGUUGCUGUCGGCGCAAAACUGCUUGUUUUUCCUCCAAAGUAGCGCAAGCUCACUUUCCUUUGGCUCGCUCGUCCAGUCAUAUUCUGACAGCCUCCCGCCCACACAGCCUGACCUAACUUAUAAAAAAAAAAAAAAAAGACUACAGGGUUGCUCAUCGUUGCCAUACUAGAAUUUUAAAAACAUCACAAGAGGGAGAGAAGACCUUGUAAUUCUGUAUUGUAGCGAUCCGGCAAUUGUGUUACCAGGAUUGUUGUUCGAGGGACAGACAAACCGGGACGGAGAGCCAACUUAAAACAUCAAAGUGGAAGCGCUUUGGAUAGCGAAGGUCGGGUGAGGCCAGUGGGGCGAGGAGACGAGCGUGAGGUGGAAUAUGUUUGUUUGGACACGACGUGUUCCGGCGGGUGGGAGGGAGUGGGAGUGCCGCCCCCCCGCGGAACCCCGUCCUCACCCCUCUUGGCCGUGUCGCUCAACGCUCGCGAAUGCCAUCCCAGAAAUCAAUGCGGCGCGUUUGUGUGUGUCAAAGAUGCGUCUGCCCGCACAGCGUGAAGGCAAACAUGGCGCACGGCAAAAACGCCGAGCCGGCGCCGUCCUUCUCCCCACCGCGUGCCCACUCCUCCAGCCCUAAUCUCCAAAUCGAUGCCCUCGCUCAGUAGAAAAGUACGGCCAAUCAGUCCGGCUCCCGCCGAAAGCCCCACCGCCCGAAAAAAAAACAACUGCGGCACUGUGGAUCAAUUCUCACACAGGAGUUAAGUUAACUCUUGUUUUGGACUGUUUUAUGUUACUUGUGUUAGCGUCUUUUGCACAAGGAGGAAAGGCACCAGAGGAAGUUCGUGUCAUGUUAUGUAACCCUGCAAUUGAAGCAUAUUUGCACUUUUCAAGCUUUCCUUUGACCUCAAAUUGGCUGCGGAAAAGUCACUGCGGUGUGCGGACUGCGCACGCCUCAUUUGAUUUCACGGCCAAGAAAUGUCAGUUGCACCCGCCAAUGCUGACAGAUUUGUGAUUCAGGUGACUCCAGUGAUAUAGUGCUGCCUCCAUGAGUGAAAAUACAAAUAAUGCUUUUUACUUUGUCUUUAUGGGGGCUUGUGAUAGACCAGGGGUGUCCAAACUUUUUGCCAAGGGGGCCAGAUUUUAUGUGGUAAAAUGUCGGGGGGCCGACCUUGGCUGACAUUCUUUACAUUGAACAACAAUAUUGUUCAACAAAUUUUAGUAAGCCAGUCUGUUUCACAUUUCCAUUUUUAUUUUAAUUUCAACAAUCUUAAGAAUUUCUUUUGGUUCAUUUGAAACGGGAAUUUGAAAUAUGACAUAUCAGUCAAUAUACACACGGAGUGAUGUCUUGUUAACUCGUGAGUGAUGCCCUCUAGUGUCUAAAUGCUAUUACUCAUUUAGUGAAUGCUAUUACUCAUUUAGCCACUAGAGGGAAGCAGUACUCUAUGAAACAUCACUCACCAGUCUACGAGACCUCAGUCAAUGCAACACGUGUUCCAUUGCGCCCAACCUGCGGGCCAGACGGCACUGAUUUUAUGACAGGGGCCGAGGGCCGGAUGAAAUUCGACCGCGGGCCGGAUUUGGCCCCCGGGCCGGACUUUGGACAUGUUAACAUUUUUGAUGAACAAAUUUGAUUUGUUUCUUUUACCUUGGUGAUGUUAUAGUUCUUUUCUCAUCUCAUCAAAAUCGAAGACGCGUCAAAAGGUGCCAAAAAGUCACUUGUGUGCCCAUUUUGAAGUGAAACGGAAAGCUUGAAAUGUUCCCUGCAUAUUGGUGUGUUCAAUUCGCACAUCUGCUCGUUUUCAUCAAAAGCCGCGAUAAUCGGCCAACAAACGCAAACACAGGCCAUACCUUAGCCGAGAGCAUUAGUUGACUUGACUUGCAUGCGGCCGCUGGCUGUGCAAUAUCGCGAGAAAUUGACUAACCCCGUGCACUUUAAACAAUAUUUGAAAUGUUAAUUAGAAGGUCUCGCUGCCCUAGUCAUAUGCUGCCCACCAAUGAGAAGGUCAUGCGUGUGUGUGUGUGGGUGUGUGUGUGUGGGUCAUAUUGCGGAAAGAGGACUGUGUUAGACUCUUCGGUGCUUCCACACACACAUUGACUGUAAACGUUACAUAGGAACUCUGCUGGUUCUACCACUGUGGAAAUAAACUAUGAUUUGGAAACAU